AACUCCCCCCUUUUUCUUAACCUAUAGGACAGGGAAUAACCUCCGGGAAACUGAGUAUCCUGCCCGAUAGAACAUUAUGCCUGGAAUGGUUUAUGUUCCAAAUGAUUUAUCGCCGUAGGAUGGGACUGCGGCCUAUCAGUUUGUUGGUGAGGUAAUGGCCCACCAAGACUAUUACAGGUACGGGCUCUGAGAGGAGUGGCCCGGAGAUGGGUACUGAGACACCGACCCAGGCCCUAUGGGGCGCACCAGGCGAGAAAACUUUGCAAUGUGCGAAAGCACGAAAAGGUUAAUCCGAGUGGUUUCUGCUAAAGGAACCUUUUGUCGGUCCUAGAAACACCGAUGAAUAAGGGGUGGGCAAGUUCUGGUGUCAGCCGCCGCGGUAAAACCAGCACCUCAAGUGGUCAGGAUGAUUAUUGGGCCUAAAGCAUCCGUAACCGGCUCUGUAAAGUUUUCGGUUAAAAUACUGUAUCGCUUAACGUACUGGCUGCCGGGAAUACUGCAGAGCUAGGGAGUGGGAGAGGUAGACGGUACUCGGGUAGGAGGGGGUAAAAUCCUUUGAUCUAUUGAUGACCGCCUGGUGGCAAAGGCGGUCUACCAUGACACGUCCCGACGGUGAGGGAUGAAAACUGGGGUGAGCCAAACCGGAUUAGACACCCCGGCUAGUCCCAUCCGUAAACCAUGCCAACCCAAGGACCCAUUGGUCUGGGGCCCAAUGUCGUGGCUCAGCGCAACCCAUUAAGUUUGCCGCCUUGGGA
Molecule: ribosomal RNA, 755 nt
Filed under: uncultured archaeon
Lineage: Archaea
Description: bacterial SSU rRNA
Rfam family: Archaeal small subunit ribosomal RNA
Source: RNAcentral